This 1178-nucleotide long non-coding RNA is filed under the name Homo sapiens (human). Its description in RNAcentral is "novel transcript, antisense to ADAMTS18". The record is from RNAcentral. Lineage: Eukaryota; Metazoa; Chordata; Mammalia; Primates; Hominidae.
UUGAGGAAGGCCGGCCUUGCUGAACACAGUGGACUGACCGGGUCUGGACCCCUCCCCCACAGGUGACUGUGCACUGCAGCAGAGAGAAGAGGAAGGAGUCAGAAACACUCUACUGAGGACACACCAGGGUCUGUGAGUCAUGCGAAGGGGUUGCUAAGGCAGGGCAAGGCGAGAAUUUCACAACUGGCUUCCUCUGCAUCCUCCUCUUGGCUGGAUUUAGAUUCUGUAAGUGGAAAGCAAAUCAAACUUCUCUCCUUCCCAAGGCACUGUGCUCUCCCUGGAAUACCAGAAAGCUAUUGGAAAUGUUCUCAAGAAACACUGGAUAUGAGAAAGACCUCAUAAUCUGUGACUAAAUGAAACAGUGUGAAGAGAUGUCUAUAACAUGAUUUCAGUACAGAGGGAUACAAAAUGAUACUCACGGUAUGUGAGUCUGUCAAACACAUGUUUGCUUACAUGUGCCUAGGGAAACAAAUGAUAUAGAUCAAAAUAUUAACAUUGGCUAUUGCCUGUUUACAAAUUAUGGGGAUUACCUUUCUUCUUAAUAGCCCAUUGCUUUUAAAAUGGGUAUUACUAGAAAAUGUAUUACCUUUUAAUUAUUUUAUAUAUGUAUCCUAAAAAAGUAUUUUUUCAUACUUUGUUAAUUAGCAUGGACCUACAGAUAGGCCUUUCAGACAUAAGAAUUUCUUCAUUUUCUGUAUCUUUGCUCUGUCUCUGAUUCUAAGCCUUAUUAUGCUUAGUGGGAUGGAACCAGUAGGAAGUCUCACUGUCACCAGGUGCUCUGAAUAAUAGGAAAUGAGAGACCAACAUUCAUGCUGUGGUUUCAGGAACUUAUUUUGGGCACUUGUUCUUCCUCCCAAAUGAGCAAGUGUGACAAUGGUUUAACCCCCAAAUAUGUGACAUUGUUCACAUCUAAAUAAAACGCCUUCCUUCUACUCACCCAGUAGAUGGUUGCUGUUGUUCCUUCCUUGCAAGGGUUGUCUCAGAUUUAAUCCAUUCCUCUAGUGAGAGAACCUUUGCUGACCUUACCCCUGAGGGGAUAUCCAUGUUUCAGAUAGACAUCUUAAGUUUGCCAUGUAUGCGUCCUCACUUGCCUUGACCCUAGCUUUUAUAACUUCCAAAUGGAAGGUUAAUAAUGACAGAAAAGCCAAGACUGGCGGAAACUAAAAGCUGAAAAUUAA